This 71-nucleotide transfer RNA is filed under the name Loxodonta africana (African savanna elephant). It matches the Rfam family "tRNA". From Rfam's summary of the family: Transfer RNA (tRNA) molecules are approximately 80 nucleotides in length. Their secondary structure includes four short double-helical elements and three loops (D, anti-codon, and T loops). Lineage: Eukaryota; Metazoa; Chordata; Mammalia; Proboscidea; Elephantidae. The record is from Rfam by way of RNAcentral.
GUAGUGGUGGUCCAGUGGUAGAAUUCUCACCUUCCAUGUGAGAGACCUGGGUUUGAUUCCUGGCCAAAACA